RNAcentral lists this ribosomal RNA (244 nucleotides) under uncultured Sneathia sp. Its description in RNAcentral is "partial 16S ribosomal RNA". It matches the Rfam family "Bacterial small subunit ribosomal RNA", at positions 94 to 339 of the family's 1533-position model. Lineage: Bacteria; Fusobacteriati; Fusobacteriota; Fusobacteriia; Fusobacteriales; Leptotrichiaceae. The record is from RNAcentral.
CAUGGCGGACGGGUGAGUAACGCGUAAAGAACUUGCCCUUUAGACUGGGAUAACAGAGGGAAACUUCUGAUAAUACUGGAUAAGUUAGUAUAUCGCAUGAUAUGCAAAUGAAAGCUACGGCACUAAAGGAGAGCUUUGCGUCCUAUUAGCUAGUUGGUAAGGUAAGAGCUUACCAAGGCGAUGAUAGGUAGCCGGCCUGAGAGGGUGGACGGCCACAAGGGGACUGAGAUACGGCCCUUACUCC